AUGAAAGCUUCUGCUGUGAUCCACUCAGGAUGUACAGCCCAAGAAUGAAUGAUUCAGCAUAAGGGAUGAGCAGAAGACAAGCCAUGAAAAUGAAAAUAACCUUGGAGACUUCUUCAAAACUGCUUCAAAACACAUUAAGAUCUACUGGUGAAACAGCGGUAAAAAAAUACUGUCACUUCCAUAUGCUGGGAUACUUCUUUCCCAAAGCUGUCAGACAUUCAGCAUCACAGUUGCAUUUUCCUGCCUAGAACAGGUCAACCAUUUUCUCUUCAAUACCAGCUGACUUUAGUGCCCAGGUGAAGAGGGGCUUGUAAGUUAUGGACAUUGCUACUUGCUUUUAAAUAAAAAGACUUGAUUUUUCACCC
Molecule: non-coding RNA, 365 nt
Organism: Lonchura striata (white-rumped munia)
Lineage: Eukaryota; Metazoa; Chordata; Aves; Passeriformes; Estrildidae
Source: RefSeq, a predicted model, not a curated record